AUGAUUUCUACUCUGUCCAAAGAACAGGUGAAAGUAGCUGAACGACUUUUCUCAGAAGCACAGGGGCAGCAGCUCACCAGCACCUCUGCCUACUACACCUACCUGCUCCUGCUCCUGAACAGCGUGGUCUACUUUGCCUUCGCCACCUUCUGUCUGUUUAGAAGAAAAGCUGUCCGUGGUGAUGGGAAGAGUUCCUAACAGAUGGUUGCAGAAAGGGGACAUCUUUCCUGCAUCAUGUAUUGUCCCUGACAGAGUAGCCCACAGCAGCCAUUAGCGCCACUCUCUCCAGUCUCCUCCAGCUCCUCCAGCCAGCCCGAGUCGUGGCAGCUGCAGUGUAGACAGCACACAGCCUCCAGCCAUGCUCCAGUGCCCUUGC
Molecule: non-coding RNA, 376 nt
Organism: Galeopterus variegatus (Sunda flying lemur)
Lineage: Eukaryota; Metazoa; Chordata; Mammalia; Dermoptera; Cynocephalidae
Source: the annotation of a RefSeq genome assembly